RNAcentral lists this ribosomal RNA (86 nucleotides) under Empedobacter tilapiae. The record is from RNAcentral. Lineage: Bacteria; Pseudomonadati; Bacteroidota; Flavobacteriia; Flavobacteriales; Weeksellaceae.
UCACCUCUUCCCAUUCCGAACAGAGAAGUUAAGCCUGCCUGCGCCGAUGGUACUGUUACUUACGGGAGAGUAGGUCGUCGCCAGUU